UAGGAAGUAGUGUAAUGGGAUCACUUAGAAUUUUGAGUUCUAAAAUAAAGGUUCAAAUCCUUUCUUUUCUAG
This 72-nucleotide transfer RNA is filed under the name Petitella bleheri (rummy-nose tetra). Its description in RNAcentral is "tRNA-Gln". It matches the Rfam family "tRNA". From Rfam's summary of the family: Transfer RNA (tRNA) molecules are approximately 80 nucleotides in length. Lineage: Eukaryota; Metazoa; Chordata; Actinopteri; Characiformes; Acestrorhamphidae. The record is from RNAcentral.